Molecule: long non-coding RNA, 225 nt
Filed under: Linum usitatissimum (flax)
Lineage: Eukaryota; Viridiplantae; Streptophyta; Magnoliopsida; Malpighiales; Linaceae
Description: long non-coding RNA (LUSI_LNC000288)
Source: RNAcentral
CUUUCUCUCUCAGUAUCUGUCAUCAUCAUCAUUAAUUCAAUCAUCAUCACCAUCAUCCACCACCAUCCCCCUCUCUUCCUUUUCCUCUCUCUCUCUCUCUCUCUCUCUGUUUUUAUUACGAUUCGGAUUUUUCUUUCUUUCCCUCUCUGCAAAACAAACACUGAGAGACAGAGCACAAACAGAUCACCAUCACAUCCGCCGCCGGCACUGACUUCUCCACCCUCU